This 431-nucleotide ribosomal RNA is filed under the name uncultured bacterium. RNAcentral describes it as "partial 16S ribosomal RNA". It matches the Rfam family "Bacterial small subunit ribosomal RNA", at positions 29 to 507 of the family's 1533-position model. The record is from RNAcentral.
AACGAACGCUGGCGGCAGGCUUAACACAUGCAAGUCGAGCGCCCCGCAAGGGGAUCGGCAUACGGGUGGGUAACGCGUGGGAACGUACCUUUUGGUUCGGAACAACUCCGGGAAACUGGAGCUAAUACCGGAUAAGCCUUAACGGGGAAAGAUUUAUCGCCGAAAGAUCGGCCCGCGUGUGAUUAGCUACUUGGUGAGUUAACGGCUCACCAAGGCGACAGCCAGUCGCUGGUCGGGGAGAAUGACCAGCCACACGGGAUCGGCGGCACGGCCCGGACUCUUACGGGAGGAAGAGGUGGGGAAUAUGGACCAAGGGGCACAAGCUGGAUCAAGCAAAGCGGAGUGGGGGAUGAAGGCCUUAGGGUUGUAAAGCUCUUUUGUCCGGGAAGAUAAUGACUGUAGCGGAAAAAUAAGCCCCGGCUAACUUCGUG